UACUAAUGUAUUUAGUGAGCCUUAAUACAAUGUUGCCAAGAUAGUAGCCACCUAGCCCCAGGGGCGCAGAUAGCACUGGGGACGGGGGGGACAUGUCCCCCCCAGAUUCAUAGUGACCCAGAUCCGUCCCCAGCACUCUCCCUACGUAAGGCGACAAUCAUCAGUUAAUAACUCUGCACAGCUGAUUAGGCGAUGUUAGCGUCCCCCCCAGUUAAAAAAUCCCAUCUGCACCGCUGCCUAGCCCGUCCACAUGUAGGAUAAUUAGCCUACUUCAAAUGGUAACAGAUGAUAAAUUGCUGUCAACUAAUGGCUCUUUAUCAUACUGUAGCAUUCAGCACAAUUUAAGGUCACACUGAUUAAGUUACAACAGAACAUCGUCUUUAUUUUUGGCUGUUGUCGGCCACAGCCACGCCUUACAGAACCAAUUAACCUUUGACCUUGCAGGACACGUUUUCCCACGUAACAUUAGAACAGGCACUCAUACAGUAACUCUCCACACAUCACACAUCACACCCCCCCACGCACACACACACACACACACCAUAAUAGGGAUGGCCUCUCUCUAAACUCCUACCAACAUUGGUCCAGGCAAUAGUGCACUAUUGUUUAAAAGUGUACAUCUCAUAACAGCACAUCUGAUAACUUUAUACCCCAUGGUGAACUUGAGCAUGCCACAAUACCAUCAGUAUACUUACACCUGACCCACCCUCUUCUAGGUGCGUCAUUAUUUAGGUGUGCACUUUUAUUUAUCCAAUCUAUCCAUAAUCUUGAUCUAUAGAACUGUCAGAUAACAAAGGCAGAACACUUCAUUGUAACCUGCCCACUUGUCUGCAUGUCUGAGCUACAACAUGUGCUGUGCCUGGCCGAAGUCACUGACAGCUACCUAUGCCAAUGCGAGACUCGUGAAUGACGUGAUCUGUGUAGUUAUACAGUUAUGCGUCACGGCAGGCUGCCUGAGGGGACAAGAUGUUUGCAUGAAAACUCAUCCCUUCCCAUUAACAUAUUAGCCCCAAUUCUGUGUUUUAAAUGUUGUUGAUGUUUUUUUUUGGUUAUGUUGGGUGGGCACGUGCCCUCCUUGAGUCAAUGGGAACAAUGCCACUGGGUGGCAGCAUCAUAUUGUGGAUGUGUUUUUCAGCAGCAGGGACUGGGUGACUGGUCAGGAUUGAGGGAAAGUUGAACAGAGCAAACGACAGAGCGUUCAGGACCUCAGAUUGGGCUGAAGGUUCUCCCUCCAACAGGACAAUGACCAUAAGCACAAAACGACACAGGAGUGGCUUAGGGACAACUCUGUGAUGGUCCUUGAGUGGCCCAGCCAGAGCCCUGACUUGAACCCACUUGAAAAUCUCUGGAUAGACCGAUGGGCCCUAUCCAACAUGACAGAGCUUGACAGGAUCUGCAGAGAAGAAUGGCUGAAAAUUCCCAAAUCCAGGUGUGCAAAGCUGGUUGCGUCAUACCCAAGAAGACUUGAUGCUGUAAUGGAUGCCAAAGGUAAUUCAACUAAGUACUGAGUAAAGGGUCUGAAUACUUACAUCAACGUAAUGUUUGUUUUUCCUUUUUGAUAAACUCGCAAACAUUUCUAAAAUCCUUUUUUUGCUUCGUCAUUGUGGGGUAUUAAGCGUAGAGUGUAGAUUUAAGCAUAAGGCUGUAACAUAACAAAUGUGGGAAAAGUGUAGGGUUCUGAACACUGAAUGCAUUUCCACUGUAUACUCUGGUACUGAUGAGAGGGUAGGGAAGAGAUUUCGCAGAUCCAGAGGCAGCGUGUGUCUAGGUGUGUGAUGUGGAGGCACCUUAUUGCAGUCUGCCUACUUUCAUCGGCCUACUUUUCAUAAAAAGAGAGAACUCUGAAAUAUGCUCAAGCCAAAUUUUAUUUAUUUUCCAAUUGUUGGUCACUUAAAAUAUGCACAUGUGACAUAAACAUGUCCAGGGAUGAAGUUGUGCAUUCCUUGCUAAAAUGGUGUUCGGAGGGGGCGGAUCAAAUGAAAAGUAACAUCGGAAAAGCUGCACAGCUAGAUAAUCUGCCUCCUUUUCUUCAACUCACAUCACAGCGCCUCGGAAGUGAGCAAGUGACUCCCUCCAAAAAGAUCAUUGCAUAUACUGUAUACUACACCCUCAAAUGCAGUCACCGGUGGUCAUCUACCACGGCCCAGAAAAACUUUGUACUCAACUCACAGCUAACUGAUUUUAAAUGUAGAUUUCCUGGAAUAGGAUUACUGUGUAAUGCCAAAUCCAGGGUUUCUUAACUGUUCCCAUGAAGGAUUGUCAGUUGAAAAUAUGGUUAGGCUAUUUUUCACUCUAGCUGUAAUCUUUAUCUGGAACAACCCACAUUCCAUUUGUACUUACACCUUACUAAAAUAAGGGACAAAUUACAUUUCUUUCUGUGACAAUGUGACAAACCUUACAUGUAGGUUCCACAUGUUGUUUUUUUUACAGGAAAUGUUGUCAGUGUGAUUCGUAUACAGUUAUAAAUUAUGACUACAAUAUCUGGUACCUCAAAAAUGUAUAAAGCUUCCUUUUCUUAAUUGGUAAUCACACAUAUUGCCUAAGCUUCUUUUGUACAUGGACAUAUCUUUUAAAUAUGAAUAGUAAGUAGAUUAAAAGUACAUCAAGGAAAGUGUGUCCAAACAAAAGACUUUGAGAAAAUUAAGAUUAAGCUGUAAACCUAAGCCCUCGAUUAGUUUUGACUCCGACCCCCACAAAUGGCAUAGACCUGCUGUACUAACACCAGUCAAUGGCAUGUCCCGUUCCAUUUCCAUUUAACAGAACAUCAGAAUAUAUUCCUUUUUUUCUCGUAUCAUACUGCAAUUUUAAAGGAAACAAAACAAACAAACAGCAAAUUCCAGAGGUGCUCUCUACACCGAACACAUUCAUCUCGUAUGCAAACCUGCUCCAAAAGGCCACUCAUGCUGCAACAAACUCAAGUGCUUAGUGUGCAUCCUUCCAGAGUGAUUCGAGAAAACUGCAGUUCAAGGCACACCCACUGGGGGGGGGAGCAUUUCAUCUCAAGUACACAGCUGGCGUUCAAGUUCCGGUUAAAGUUCUAUUUUAAAGCAGUGAAGUUUACAGCGAAGGGCCUGGGUGCAGGAGGACGAAGGCUUGCAGGCGGAAGCGAUUGGCACAGGUGACCUGGAUGGGAAGGGAUUCACAGUGAUGUGAUGUUUCUAAUAGCUGUCCUCCUCCUCUCCUACCCAUUGUACUGUAUGGAGUGGCAACAGUCAAUUCUACACCCCCAUUCUACACUAACAGAUAUAUCCAGAUAUAUCCAUAUGUCUAUAUACGCCUUAUGUACACACAGCGAUGGCUUCCAUACAUACAGUGGCCAUCAUGUCUACUGCAUUGUGUACAUACUUGGAGCAGUGGUCCUUUGUACAGAAAUUUGUAAGUAUAUAUACAUAGCUACAGUACUUGGCUGGGUGGUAGACUUCAAGCACACACACAUACACUCAGCUAGGUACAAAUGCGUCUUGACUAUGAUAAAUUAUAUACACACAUGGUGUCUUUCAAACCAACAAAUCAAAACGAUUAUAUACAGCCACCAGGAUAAUGCCCAUAGCAUAUGUACAGAACAUGAUGGAAGAGCAUGUCUACAUGAAUCCCAAUAUUUACAUUCUCCAAUAGGUUAAAUAACACACUUUGGGUUAUAUGAUGUUCCAGAUCGUGAAAUAAACAAGAGGGCUCUUGUACCGCAUAGUGUAGGGAUUUUCUGGCUACACUGUACAGACUAAAAACACCACCUUGAAUUUGAACAUGGUUUGAAUCUAGAGAGUACUGGUUCUAGGAUUGGGGGGGGUGCUGAGGUGAGGUGGGGGCGGUCCAUGGGGGUGAGGAGGCAUCGGGGAAGACAAACACCCGUGGACUGGAGGGCGAGGACACCCCAGCCCACUGGGUCACGUAGACGGGUGAGCUCAGUAGUCCUCCAAACGCUGCGGGUGGAAUGACGCUUGACGCUUCAUGAAGCAAAGUAGCAGGAUCCAGACCAGCACCUGAGGGACAGCUGUCAAUCAUGGGCCAGGAGAGAAGCAGCUGCUGAGCAGCAGCAGCACCCCCUGCUGGUGUGGAAGCCACCUGGG
Long non-coding RNA from Clupea harengus (Atlantic herring), 4067 nucleotides. The record is from Ensembl. NCBI's taxonomy places the organism in Eukaryota, Metazoa, Chordata, Actinopteri, Clupeiformes, Clupeidae.